GACGAACGCUGGCGGCGUGCUUAACACAUGCAAGUCGAACGGAAAGGCCCUGCUUUUGUGGGGUGCUCGAGUGGCGAACGGGUGAGUAACACGUGAGUAACCUGCCCUUGACUUUGGGAUAACUUCAGGAAACUGGGGCUAAUACCGGAUAGGAGCUCCUGCUGCAUGGUGGGGGUUGGAAAGUUUCGGCGGUUGGGGAUGGACUCGCGGCUUAUCAGCUUGUUGGUGGGGUAGUGGAUUACCAAGGCUUUGACGGGUAGCCGGCCUGAGAGGGUGACCGGCCACACUGGGACUGAGAUACGGCCCAGACUCCUACGGGAGGCAGCAGUGGGGAAUAUUGCACAAUGGGCGGAAGCCUGAUGCAGCAACGCCGCGUGCGGGAUGACGGCCUUCGGGUUGUAAACCGCUUUCGCCUGUGACGAAGCGUGAGUGACGGUAAUGGGUAAAGAAGCACCGGCUAACUACGUG
This 468-nucleotide ribosomal RNA is filed under the name uncultured bacterium. Its description in RNAcentral is "partial 16S ribosomal RNA". It matches the Rfam family "Bacterial small subunit ribosomal RNA", at positions 28 to 507 of the family's 1533-position model. The record is from RNAcentral.